Molecule: non-coding RNA, 115 nt
Organism: Struthio camelus australis
Lineage: Eukaryota; Metazoa; Chordata; Aves; Struthioniformes; Struthionidae
Source: Rfam
UUUUUAUAUAUAUUCCAUUUGACUUCCUGCUCCAGGAGCUUUAGCUCUUGGCAACAUAAUGAGAGCAUCUAAGCCAUAGUGACAUGUGCUUUGCAGGAUUUUCAGUUUGUAUGGA